GCCGGGAUAGCUCAGUUGGUAGAGCAACCGAUUUGUAAUCGGUAGGUCGUCGGUUCGAGUCCGACCCCCGGCACCA
RNAcentral lists this transfer RNA (76 nucleotides) under Pseudomonadota bacterium. Its description in RNAcentral is "tRNA-Thr". It matches the Rfam family "tRNA". Rfam says of the family: Transfer RNA (tRNA) molecules are approximately 80 nucleotides in length. The record is from RNAcentral. RNAcentral also lists the same sequence under 1 other name. Lineage: Bacteria; Pseudomonadati; Pseudomonadota.